This 329-nucleotide unclassified non-coding RNA is filed under the name soil metagenome. Its description in RNAcentral is "partial contains 5.8S ribosomal RNA, internal transcribed spacer 2, and large subunit ribosomal RNA". The stretch from base 1 to 120 matches the Rfam family "5.8S ribosomal RNA", at positions 35 to 154 of the family's 154-position model. The record is from RNAcentral.
GAUGAAGAACGUAGCGAAAUGCGAUACGUAAUGUGAAUUGCAGAAUUCAGUGAAUCAUCGAAUCUUUGAACGCAUAUUGCGCUCUCUGGUAUUCCGGGGGGCAUGCCUGUCCGAGCGUCAUUACAACCCUCAAGCUCAGCUUGGUGUUGGGCCCCGCCGCCCCGGCGGGCCCUAAAGUCAGUGGCGGUGCCGUCCGGCUCCGAGCGUAGUAAUUCUUCUCGCUCUGGAGGUCCGGUCGUGUGCUUGCCAGCAACCCCCAAUUUUUUUCAGGUUGACCUCGGAUCAGGUAGGGAUACCCGCUGAACUUAAGCAUAUCAAUAAGCGGAGGA